This 450-nucleotide ribosomal RNA is filed under the name uncultured Glomeromycotina. RNAcentral describes it as "SSU rRNA". It matches the Rfam family "Eukaryotic small subunit ribosomal RNA", at positions 569 to 1023 of the family's 1831-position model. The record is from RNAcentral. Lineage: Eukaryota; Fungi; Glomeromycota.
AGCAGCCGCGGUAAUUCCAGCUCCAAUAGCGUAUAUUAAAGUUGUUGCAGUUAAAAAGCUCGUAGUUGAAUUUCGGGGUUAGUAGGUCGGUCAUGCCACUGGUAUGUACUGGUCUCACUGAUUCCUCCUUCCUGAUGAACCGUAGUGCCAUUAAUUUGGUGUUGCGGGGAGACUGGACUGUUACUUUGAAAAAAUUAGAGUGUUUAAAGCAGGCUCGCGCUUGAAUACAUUAGCAUGGAAUAAUGAAAUAGGACGUUUGAUUCUAUUUUGUUGGUUUCUAGGAUCGACGUAAUGAUUAAUAGGGAUAGUUGGGGGCAUUAGUAUUCAAUUGUCAGAGGUGAAAUUCUUGGAUUUAUUGAAGACUAACUACUGCGAAAGCAUUUGCCAAGGAUGUUUUCAUUAAUCAAGAACGAAAGUUAGGGGAUCGAAGACGAUCAGAUACCGUCGUAG